GUGAGGAAUAUUGGUCAAUGGGCGAGAGCCUGAACCAGCCAAGUAGCGUGAGGGAUGACUGCCCUAUGGGUUGUAAACCUCUUUUGCAGGGGGGUAAAGUGGUUCACGUGUGGACCAUUGCAAGUACCCUGCGAAUAAGGAUCGGCUAACUCCGUGCCAGCAGCCGCGGUAAUACGGAGGAUCCGAGCGUUAUCCGGAUUUAUUGGGUUUAAAGGGUGCGUAGGCGGGGGUUUAAGUCAGCUGUGAAAUGCCGGGGCCCAACCAGGGAAAUGCAGUUGAAACUGGACAUCUUGAGAGUACAUAAGGAAGGCGGAAUUCGUGGUGUAGCGGUGAAAUGCAUAGAUAUCACGAAGAACUCCGAUUGCGAAGGCAGCUUUCCGGGGUACAUCUGACGCUGAAGCUCGAAAGUGCGGGAAUCAAACAGGAUUAGAAACCCGAGUAGUCC
This 445-nucleotide ribosomal RNA is filed under the name uncultured bacterium. Its description in RNAcentral is "partial 16S ribosomal RNA". It matches the Rfam family "Bacterial small subunit ribosomal RNA", at positions 354 to 796 of the family's 1533-position model. The record is from RNAcentral.